AGAGAGAGACAUGCGUGCAUAUCAAUAAGCGGAGGAAAAGAAACUAACAAGGAUUCCCCUAGUAACGGCGAGUGAAGCGGGAAGAGCUCAAAUUUGAAAUCUUAAAGGGUUUCCCUUUACGAAUUGUAGUUUAAAGAAGUGUUUUCUGCUUGAGGUUUUGGUAAAAGUUCUUUGGAAUAGGACAUCAUAGAGGGUGAGAAUCCCGUAUUUGACCUCUACUUUCAACUUUGUGAUACACUUUCAAAGAGUCGGAUUGUUUGGGAAUGCAGUCCAAAAUGGGUGGUAAAUUUCAUCUAAAGCUAAAUAUUGGCGAGAGACCGAUAGCGAACAAGUACCGUGAGGGAAAGAUGAAAAGAACUUUGAAAAGAGAGUUAAACAGUACGUGAAAUUGUCAAAAGGGAAGCGUUUGACACCAGUGUUGUUUUUCUGAAAAUCAAUUAAAGAACUGUUUAUGCUAAGUUGUUUAGACUUUAUCAGCUAACUGUUUAGUUUUGAGCUUUUCUUUAAUGCACUUUUCAGUUAACAAGUCAACAUCAAUUUCUUUUGCUGUAAAAAAGCUUGAGGAAGGUGGCUUGAGAUUCGUCUUAAGUGUUUAUAGCCUCUUGCCUAUGCAGUCGGAGAGAUUGAGGUCUGCAGCGUAGAUCCUUCGGGGCUAAAUGCAUUUGUGCUAAGUUAUAGCAUUUUAUAGACAACUUGUUGACUAUGAUUUGUCUUGUAGCUUACUCGCUUAUGUUAUUUUACCUACGCUUAGGAUGUUGACGCAUGAGAUAUACGC
Molecule: ribosomal RNA, 775 nt
Filed under: uncultured Neocallimastigales
Lineage: Eukaryota; Fungi; Neocallimastigomycota; Neocallimastigomycetes; Neocallimastigales
Description: partial large subunit ribosomal RNA
Rfam family: Eukaryotic large subunit ribosomal RNA
Source: RNAcentral